GUAAUAACGAUGCAAAGGACUAGUAAUAAAUAAUUCAGGUAUAGCGAGACAGUGGUAGGUGGAAACUGUUCCUGAACAUUUAUGAACUCACCUUUAAUGUUGCAGAAGUGAAUCUAGUAGUUUCUGCCGUGAAUCCACGUUACGGAUACAAAGUGAACGUGUGAUUAACGUUAAUUUGGGUGGUACCGCGGGAGAUACAGCUUCUCGUCCCUUUU
RNAcentral lists this non-coding RNA (215 nucleotides) under Virgibacillus sp. RNAcentral's name for it is "T-box sequence". It matches the Rfam family "T-box leader". Rfam says of the family: Uncharged tRNA acts as the effector for transcription antitermination of genes in the T-box leader family. Lineage: Bacteria; Bacillati; Bacillota; Bacilli; Caryophanales; Bacillaceae. The record is from RNAcentral.